Long non-coding RNA from Oxyura jamaicensis (ruddy duck), 837 nucleotides. RefSeq lists it as uncharacterized. NCBI's taxonomy places the organism in Eukaryota, Metazoa, Chordata, Aves, Anseriformes, Anatidae. The transcript is spliced from 3 exons. The record is from RefSeq and is a predicted model, not a curated record.
GAAAAACCUGUUUGUUGCUGGCAGCCUUCUCUCGGAGGAAUGUGAUGCAGAGCAAAGAUAAAAGCACAAGCAUCUGUUAAGAUGAUUGGCAUUAUCCUGACAAUGGUGUAAAAAUCAUCUGCUUGGGAUGGCAAGCAGGCACCAGCCAAACAACAUCAACAUCAGCUUCAAUUUGCAAUAAACGAAGAUUUGAGCUGUGGAGAGUCCAUUUACUUUCUACAGAAAGAAGAUCAAGGAUGGGUAUUCAAUGGAAGUCCGUUUUCUUCCAAACUUGGAAAUACUCUACAGGAUUGGGGAUUUUCCAAAAUUCCAGUUUGCAAGACACAAAGGAAGUUCUUUUCACAAAAUGAUGCCUCAUUUUAACAAAAUAAGUGGUAAGCGAAAAACCUCAAGCACAAGAAGACUUGCUGUUUAGUUGGUAAUUCAUGUCUGAGUUCAAGCAAGGUGUCUGGCUUUUUUUUUUUUCUUUUUCUUUUUUUUUUUUUUUUGAAAUGUAGUUUAUUAUUAAUAGACUAUUUCUCAAAUAUAACUUUUGACUGAAUCAUUUGUUUCAAACAGGAGGACAUCAUGGGGCUGAUGAAAACAUUUGAAAGUGCUAAGUGUACAAAUCAGAAAGAAAAAUAUUUACCUUUCAUGAAGGCAUGAUGGUAAUUAGAAGAUUCUGGAGACAUUUUCAGCUGCUGCUUGGAAACUUGGCACCAUGGCCAAGGGACUCGUUCUUGCACUUUACUCCCCUGAUACAAAACUCCACGCAGACUUCUGUAAGCACUCACGGGGGAAGCACUGCAGAACAGACCCAUUUGUUCUCAAGGAGAAAAAUCCUAAUGUGUUGGCUUC